GACGAUCCUGGUUCGCAGGGCCCUAGGACACCAGACAGAGCAGGUUUGGGGGUGGUUUCUUUUAGCUGGUAACGUCACCUUCGCCUGUCUUGGGGAGGUUUUCUGGAUUCAGCAGAAUCAGAUUCUCGCCCUAAUUUCAAGGUCCUUUGCCUUGGCAGUCAGCUCGCUGUGGGAGGCCUGACAGGAGCUGUCUCCGCCUGAGCCUGCUCACCUGCCUCCAAUCUCACCUGAUCUGACCGUUGACCCUGAGUACCCUCUUCCCAGAGCACAGAGGCUGUCAGGCUCAGAUCCCAAGCGGCUUUUCCUUAAAACAAUGGAGACAAAAAUGUGUGUGUGUGUGUGUGUGUGUGUGUGUGUGUGUGUGUGUGUGUGUGUGUUGCAGUGAAAUAUAAUAGAAUUGACAAGCAGCUUAACUUAAGGCACGAUAAGGCAAGCUCAGAACUCACUGAACGUUCACCUUCAGGAUUUGUUGACCAGCCUUUGGGAGGGAGACUGUGAAUGGAGGCUGCACGACUGCAACCACGUGGGAACCCGGUCGCGUGCUUCCGAGCGUGGCCCCACAGCAUCUUUCUUCGCUGAAACAUGCGUGUGAUAUCCCGCGCGCAUGCCUUCUCCUAUGAAAAACGAAGGACUAUGAAGGAAUGAGCUCGAAGAAACGACGAAAGGGAUCACAUUAUCACAGCGGGACCACAAGCAAGGCCCUGUGUUUGCCGCAGGACAGACACCUGGCUAGAGAAGAAACGCUUCCGUCCAAACCACACAUCGUGGAGGAAGAUAGAUGGGAUAUGACUGGACAGCAGCCUGUCAGGUGGGGCCUUCUUCAUUCAUUUGCGCUCCUGCCAGGCAGAGGAUAAGCAAAGGCCAAAUGUCGAGAUGGUGUAACCAAAAGGUGGACAGAGCCUGGAUGUCAGGCAUGCCUGGAAGGGAUCUGCCCGGAAGAGCCACAGUUCCUGCAGCCAACUCCAUGUGCCUGAAAUGUCAGGAGCUGCAGAUAUGGGGGGACUACGGUUUCCACAAUUUCAUAAUCGCAUGAUUCCACCCGUGUCCCAUUGGUGGUCAUUUACCGUGUUGCCAGUCUUUGGCUCUGACAAGCAAUGCUGCGGUGAACAACCUGGAAGACACAUCCAUCUGCACUGGGCCAUGGAUCUCUUCUUUGAUGGCCUCUGGGUUUUUACAUCCUGAGGAGUGAUCUUCACUGUAAAGCAAGGUGAGCCCCUUCAUUUUCACCACCCUUUGUGAAACGGGGCUAGAAAUGAGUCCCUCAACACCAUGCAGUAUGACUUAAAAAUCAGAUUUUAUUGGCCAAACAUACAAGCCAGGGAUCAGCAAGAAGAGAAAAAGUGAGUAGUCCUCUAUCUUCUCAUUAUCCUAUUGAGAGACAUACUAGCA
Long non-coding RNA from Myotis myotis, 1389 nucleotides. RefSeq lists it as uncharacterized. The record is from RefSeq and is a predicted model, not a curated record. NCBI's taxonomy places the organism in Eukaryota, Metazoa, Chordata, Mammalia, Chiroptera, Vespertilionidae. The transcript has 4 exons.